UACGUAGGGGGCAAGCGUUGUCCGGAUUUAUUGGGUUUAAAGGGUGCGUAGGCGGCCCUGUAAGUCAGUGCUGAAAUAUCCCAGCUUAACUGGGAGGGUGGCAUUGAUACUGCGGGGCUAGAGUACAGAUGAGGUAGGCGGAAUUGACGGUGUAGCGGUGAAAUGCGUAGAUAUCGGAAGGAACAUCAGUGGCGAAAGCGGCUUCCUGGACCAGUACCGACGUUCAGGCACGAAAGCGUGGGGAGCAAACAGG
Molecule: ribosomal RNA, 253 nt
Filed under: uncultured bacterium
Lineage: Bacteria
Description: partial 16S ribosomal RNA
Rfam family: Bacterial small subunit ribosomal RNA
Source: RNAcentral